AAAAAAAAAGCGACACCAGUUGACCUGAGUGGAAGGGACUGUGAAUAAUGAGAUUUAGAAAAAGACAGACUAGCCCGUGGAAGAUUUGAAAGGUCAGGUGUGAAAGUGUAGCCUUUAUCCAGGAGGUUCCUCUUAGGAAUCUUGGAUAGAUUUUAAGGAACAGAAUGUCAGGGCAGAUUUAUAUUUUUAGAUCCCUCUAGCAGUUGGUGGAAGGAUGGCUUGGGAUUGGGAGUAAAAAUGGAGGCAGAGAGACCCAUAAGGAGACUGUGAAGACCAGGUAACCGAUGCUGAGGCUUGAACCUGGGCACAAGGGAACGUGCGAUGGAGGCCACACAGGUAGAACUCACCAAAGAUUGGAUUUCCUGGCCUGGGAAGUCUGUGCCUCUUAACCAGCAGGAAGGCCCAAGGUCCAGGCAGAGACUUGGCCGGCAGGAGGGCAUGAGAUCCGGGGCUGAGGAGGGUCAAUGAGGGCUGUGGCCACCCCCCUUCCUCUCCAGGAACUACUAUAAUGUCUCCAGGGAUCCUGUGGUCAUCAACAAAGUCUUCAAGGACUGGAAGCCUGGGGGUGUCAUCAGCUGCAGGAACUGUGGGGAGGUCUGGGGUCUGCAGAUGAUCUACAAGUCAGUGAAGCUGCCAGUGCUCAAAGUCCGCAGCAUGCUGCUGGAGACCCCUCAGGGGCGGAUCCAGGCCAAAAAGUGGUCCCGCGUGCCCUUCUCCGUGCCUGACUUUGACUUCCUGCAGCAUUGUGCCGAGAACUUGUCGGACCUCUCCCUGGACUGACCACCUCAUUGCUGCAGUGCCCGGUUUGGGCUGUAGGGGGCGGGAGAGUCUGCAGCAGACUCCAGGCCCCUCCUUCCUGAAUCAUCAGCUGUGGGCAUCAGGCCCACCAGCCACACAGGAGUCCUGGGCACCCUGGCUUAGGCUCCCGCAAUGGGAAAACA
RNAcentral lists this long non-coding RNA (941 nucleotides) under Homo sapiens (human). RNAcentral's name for it is "non-protein coding lnc-ZNF385C-8:1". The record is from RNAcentral. Lineage: Eukaryota; Metazoa; Chordata; Mammalia; Primates; Hominidae.